AAGGAAAUAGCUCAGUGGUAGAGUGCGUGCUUAGCAUUCACGAAGUCCUGGGUUCAAGCCCCAGUACCUCUA
This 72-nucleotide transfer RNA is filed under the name Camelus bactrianus (Bactrian camel). It matches the Rfam family "tRNA". From Rfam's summary of the family: Transfer RNA (tRNA) molecules are approximately 80 nucleotides in length. RNAcentral also lists the same sequence under 2 other names. Lineage: Eukaryota; Metazoa; Chordata; Mammalia; Artiodactyla; Camelidae. The record is from Rfam by way of RNAcentral.